Molecule: ribosomal RNA, 855 nt
Filed under: uncultured bacterium
Lineage: Bacteria
Description: bacterial SSU rRNA
Rfam family: Bacterial small subunit ribosomal RNA
Source: RNAcentral
GGCGGCGAGUGGCGAACGGGUGAGUAAUAUAUCGGAACGUACCCUGGAGUGGGGGAUAACGUAGCGAAAGUUACGCUAAUACCGCAUACGAUCUAAGGAUGAAAGUGGGGGAUUCGCAAGAACCUCAUGCUCCUGGAGCGGCCGAUAUCUGAUUAGCUAGUUGGUGGGGUAAAGGCCUACCAAGGCAUCGAUCAGUAGCUGGUCUGAGAGGACGACCAGCCACACUGGAACUGAGACACGGUCCAGACUCCUACGGGAGGCAGCAGUGGGGAAUUUUGGACAAUGGGCGCAAGCCUGAUCCAGCAAUGCCGCGUGAGUGAAGAAGGCCUUCGGGUUGUAAAGCUCUUUUGUCAGGGAAGAAACGGUGAGAGCUAAUAUCUUUUGCUAAUGACGGUACCUGAAGAAUAAGCACCGGCUAACUACGUGCCAGCAGCCGCGGUAAUACGUAGGGUGCAAACGUUAAUCGGAAUUACUGGGCGUAAAGCGUGCGCAGGCGGUUUUGUAAGUCUGUCGUGAAAUCCCCGGGCUCAACCUGGGAAUUGCGAUGGAGACUGCAAGGCUAGAAUCUGGCAGAGGGGGGUAGAAUUCCACGUGUAGCAGUGAAAUGCGUAGAGAUGUGGAGGAACACCGAUGGCGAAGGCAGCCCCCUGGGUCAAGAUUGACGCUCAUGCACGAAAGCGUGGGGAGCAAACAGGAUUAGAUACCCUGGUAGUCCACGCCCUAAACGAUGUCUACUAGUUGUCGGGUUUUAAUUAACUUGGUAACGCAGCUAACGCGUGAAGUAGACCGCCUGGGGGAGUACGGUCGCAAGAUUAAAACUCAAAGGAAUUGACGGGGACCCGCACAAGCGGUGGA